UCUUAUUGCUGUGAUGAAAUGGAAAUUUAAAUAAAAGGUCGAACACGUGCGUUCACUGGGAAGUAUUGACAUGGGUGUUACAUCACCACCAGCCAAUCAGAUAACUCCAGUCGUGUUUAUACUUCUACAACCACCUUGUACUUUGCAAAUAAAGGCAUUAUUUAUUGUAUUUUAACCACCACUGCCACCCCCAUAAAAAGAGAGAAGAAUUACUGAAGUUAAUUGCUUAUCUAGGAUUAAGGUAAUGAAAUGAAGAUGAAGCUCUUCCAAGUAUAUUCGUGAUCAGCCAACAUAAAAUUUGCCUCAACCUUUGAGAUAUUACUCCUGCGACAAGAACCAUAAAGAGUGGCUGUGCCAUCAUGACUCUAUUUUCAAAAGGAGUGGACCAGACAGUGUGGGUGGAGAAGGAAAAAAAUUCAUAAGCACUUUCGGAUAAACUGCUCAAAGUAGUUGCACUACUGACAAGGGUUCAGCAGAGGCUUCUGCAUGGACGAGGACAGUUGACAUGACUGAGGUGUGAAACAUAAUGCAGAUAAUGCACAAGUUAUGCCCUUCAAGGCCAUGAAUAAUUGUGGCCAACCUUGGACAAGAAGUCGGGCAUCCCAAGAGUGGAAUUAAAAAAAAAAAUGAAGUCAACUCCUGAGCUACACAGAGAAUACCUGUACACACACUCUCUUCUGAGCCUCUGUGACCGCGGAAAACCAUGGGGGAGAUGAUGCGAACAGAGAGCCUCUCUUCUAGCCUCUGGCAUUUCAAAUCUCCUAAAGCUGUAACUCAGCUGUCAGCCUGUGGAAAUGGAUCAUUCAGCACCCUUGCAACUUUCCCAGUGACUUCCUAAGGACUUAGCUGUUCUAUAGCUGAUGUCUUCUGUGUCUGAUCACUUGGGAAUCCGGUGGACUAGAGGCCUCUUGCACCCUCCGGUAGUUGAACUGUCCUUUUUAGUUUCACCAGGAACAUUCUGGACUUCAUCACUUCCUUCCAUUCUGGCCUGAUAUUUGAAAGCCACAGUCGAGUUACUAAGGGCCAGAUGUCCAGUGCUUUUCUAAAAAUCAAGUCACUGUGAACCAGUGAUGUGAAAACAGUCAUAAUCUAUAAUAGUUCCCAGCUAUAUAGCUUGGUACUCCUCAUUUUUAGUGUGGUGAAUAUAAUAAAUGUAGGUAAGUGUUGGAUUUAUCAUUUUAUCUUUUUUUUUUUUUAACAUUUGCUUUAGAAUUGUACUUCUCUUUCUUUGAAUUAUUUCCUAUCUUUUGGGGCCAGGAUCUUGUUUAGAUCUUAAAUUAUUAUUCAUGGCUCUGAAGACAUUUCUGGAUAAAAGUCAUUUUAUCUCACCAGAGAAAAACACUGUCCCCUCCACAUGGAAACAAUAGCAGAGUAGACCUUUGGUACUCAGAAAUUUAACAUUUCUUGUAAAAGUACCUCAGAGGUCUGUGCAGAAAGCAUAUUAUAUUGAAGGAAUGGAGCUUAAUCUCAGGCACAGGGUGGGAAGAAGACACAUGUAAUGAGAAGAAGGUGUGGCCUGUGUGAGAUGGUACGUUUCUGGGAUGCCUGGGGAAAUAGGAAGCAAACUUGACCCUGCCAUCUUCCUUAUCACUUUGUCAUUCAAAGUAAAGAUGGAGAGGGGUGAGGUAAUGAGGACAGUGCUAGGUUUGUAGAUGUUUGGGUUGGUGAGGGUAGGGACAGCA
Long non-coding RNA from Zalophus californianus (California sea lion), 1682 nucleotides. RefSeq lists it as uncharacterized. The transcript has 5 exons. NCBI's taxonomy places the organism in Eukaryota, Metazoa, Chordata, Mammalia, Carnivora, Otariidae. The record is from RefSeq and is a predicted model, not a curated record.